This 75-nucleotide transfer RNA is filed under the name Achromobacter anxifer. RNAcentral describes it as "tRNA-Lys". It matches the Rfam family "tRNA". From Rfam's summary of the family: Transfer RNA (tRNA) molecules are approximately 80 nucleotides in length. Their secondary structure includes four short double-helical elements and three loops (D, anti-codon, and T loops). Lineage: Bacteria; Pseudomonadati; Pseudomonadota; Betaproteobacteria; Burkholderiales; Alcaligenaceae. The record is from RNAcentral.
GCGUCGUUGGCAGAACGGUUAUGCACCGGACUCUUAAUCCGAUUUACCUGGGUUCGACCCCCAGGCGGCGCACCA